GACAGUUUGGCUGAGUGGUCUAUGGUGCCAGAUUUAGGCUCUGGUCCGAAAAGGCAUGGGUUCAAAUCCCACAGCCGUCA
Transfer RNA from Ipomoea nil (Japanese morning glory), 80 nucleotides. It matches the Rfam family "tRNA". Rfam says of the family: Transfer RNA (tRNA) molecules are approximately 80 nucleotides in length. Their secondary structure includes four short double-helical elements and three loops (D, anti-codon, and T loops). Lineage: Eukaryota; Viridiplantae; Streptophyta; Magnoliopsida; Solanales; Convolvulaceae. The record is from Rfam.